GAUUCCGGCCUGGAAAACUUGAGUAUACUGAAGCAUAGCGUGCUCGAGAACCAGCUCACACUUCCCCAGUCAAUUCUAUUCAAUAUUAGUGAUUGAUACAAGGUCCCAAAUAUGAUCUCCAAAGGUGUCUUUGUCAUUCAUUACAACCCCAAGGUCCUUAUGCACCUCCGUCCUUUCCUUUGGUACAUUGUCUAGUCCCUGGAUGGGAUCAACGAUAUCGGUCUCACCGUGCACCAUCAGUCGGAAUUUCUUUGGGUUGAAGUGCGUGUUGUUAGCCCUUGCCCAUCCACAGAGCAGGUCAACAUCUGCCUGUAGCAACUAAUCCUCUCCUCUAUGUUCGAUGACCAUCUGGAUAUUCAAAUCGUCGACAAACAAUAUAGUGAUAUAUUUGACCACCAUUGACCAAAUUUCGGCGCUCUCUUCGUUUUGAGUUCCUUCCUUUGGCCGAAGUCUUCCGGCUCUAAAAGGUGUGGCAGUGAGUUCGUGGACCAUCUGAUCGGCUCGUCCACAAGUGAAUGGGGCUAAAAAGUACAUCAACGAAAAGAUCUUUUUUAAUAAGGUUCAACCAAGGCUUGCUGGGGUACCGUAUUGGUAGAGCAACCGCUUUCCAAGUUGCGAAUCCUGGUUCAAUCCCAGGGGAGCCGAGUCCAAGCUUCUUUGCGGUGUUUAAAUUGCAACAUAAGUUGCUGCCUUAACAGCUUAAAUGGGUGAACCUGCGAUCAUUCCCGAGGGUGAGGUAAUAAUUAAUGUUGCACGUUUGGUUGCGACAACGGAGCGGGAAUAUCCCUUAAUUGGGACUCCCAUCAUCAGAAGCAAGCCGAGCGAGAGAGCUGUCUUCUGACUCCGAACAAACAAACAAACAAACAAAGGUUCAACCAUUUUAGCAGGGUUUGUGCAAUGAUUUUACCUGGUUCUGAAAGCUGCUUGGUCCGAAGAUAGCAAUUAUGAGUCUCAAUAAAUCGAAUUCUCGCGAUUUUACCCUUCCUUCUUGUUGAUCCAUGCUCGAACUGACUAGUUAGCUGACUAUAACUAGGGUGACUCAAAGUCACAUUUUCAGUUGAGAGUGAAAGCCGCAUCUUGUGGUGUAGAUUACGGGAGAAAAUUAAAACGAAUGAUAUUGCAAAUAUCACG
Long non-coding RNA from Tigriopus californicus, 1131 nucleotides. RefSeq lists it as uncharacterized. The transcript is spliced from 3 exons. Lineage: Eukaryota; Metazoa; Arthropoda; Copepoda; Harpacticoida; Harpacticidae. The record is from RefSeq and is a predicted model, not a curated record.